GGGGUUGUGGCUCAGUGGUAGAGCACUCGACUAGCGCAUGUGAGGUCCUGGGUUCGAUCCUCAGCACCA
RNAcentral lists this transfer RNA (69 nucleotides) under Ictidomys tridecemlineatus (thirteen-lined ground squirrel). RNAcentral's name for it is "Spermophilus tridecemlineatus (thirteen-lined ground squirrel) tRNA". It matches the Rfam family "tRNA". From Rfam's summary of the family: Transfer RNA (tRNA) molecules are approximately 80 nucleotides in length. The record is from Rfam by way of RNAcentral. Lineage: Eukaryota; Metazoa; Chordata; Mammalia; Rodentia; Sciuridae.